Molecule: ribosomal RNA, 352 nt
Filed under: uncultured bacterium
Lineage: Bacteria
Description: partial 16S ribosomal RNA
Rfam family: Bacterial small subunit ribosomal RNA
Source: RNAcentral
CCUACGGGUGGCAGCAGUGAGGAAUAUUGGUCAAUGGCCGGAAGGCUGAACCAGCCAUGCCGCGUGAAGGUCAGUGCCCUAUGGGCGGUAAACUUCUUUUGUGCGGGAGCAAUAAUGGUCACGUGUGGCCAGACGAGAGUACCGUACGACUAAGCAUCGGCUAACUCCGUGCAAGCAGCCGCGGUAAUACGGGGGAUGCAAGCGUUAUCCGGGUUUAGUGGGUUUAAAGGGUGCGUAUGCUGUGGGGUAAGUCAGCGGUGAAAUGCCCCCGCACAGCGGGGUGAAGGGCCAUUGAUACUGCAUGGAUGGAAGGCGGAUGCCGGGGGAGGAAUGUGUGGUGUAGCGGUGAAUU